GGGGAAUAUUGCACAAUGGGGGAAACCCUGAUGCAGCGACGCCGCGUGAAGGAAGAAGUAUCUCGGUAUGUAAACUUCUAUCAGCAGGGAAGAAAAUGACGGUACCUGACUAAGAAGCCCCGGCUAACUACGUGCCAGCAGCCGCGGUAAUACGUAGGGGGCAAGCGUUAUCCGGAUUUACUGGGUGUAAAGGGAGCGUAGACGGAAGAGCAAGUCUGAUGUGAAAGGCUGGGGCUUAACCCCAGGACUGCAUUGGAAACUGUUGUUCUAGAGUGCCGGAGAGGUAAGCGGAAUUCCUAGUGUAGCGGUGAAAUGCGUAGAUAUUAGGAGGAACACCAGUGGCGAAGGCGGCUUACUGGACGGUAACUGACGUUGAGGCUCGAAAGCGUGGGGAGCAAACA
This 401-nucleotide ribosomal RNA is filed under the name uncultured Blautia sp. RNAcentral's name for it is "bacterial SSU rRNA". It matches the Rfam family "Bacterial small subunit ribosomal RNA", at positions 356 to 774 of the family's 1533-position model. Lineage: Bacteria; Bacillati; Bacillota; Clostridia; Lachnospirales; Lachnospiraceae. The record is from RNAcentral.